RNAcentral lists this ribosomal RNA (525 nucleotides) under Triticum aestivum (bread wheat). Its description in RNAcentral is "partial small subunit ribosomal RNA". The record is from RNAcentral. Lineage: Eukaryota; Viridiplantae; Streptophyta; Magnoliopsida; Poales; Poaceae.
AUGUCUAGGAUAAUGUACCAAGGUGGUUCCUCAACAAAAAGAGGACCCAGGCGUGCUAUGUGUGAGCAAGACGAUGAACCACCAAGGGAAGCUGAGGUGCGGCCUUGUGAAUGGUCGUCAGAAGAGUUUAUGGUUAGUGCAGGCAUCAAGGAUGAAUUUGAUGCAUAUGUGCGUAAUGCCGAUCUUGAGGACUUCAUACAAGAUAAGUGUCCUCAAUACUACCAAUUGACUGAUUCAUUCGUGAGAAGGUUUAAAUUUACAUCUUCGUGUAAUUCUCAGAAUGUCCUAUUUGAUAUUUAUGAUCAAUCUUAUACCAUGGACCUAGAAGAUUUCACAACUGCUUGCAAACUCCCACAGCGGGGCAAUGUUAAUGAACCCCACAAAUCCGAAUAUAAAGACUUUCUUGCUAGUAUCACUGUGGGAGAAUCUAGAGAUAUAGCACAAGCUACCAUAGGGAGCAUUCAUUUUCCUGCUAUACUUUAUUUUGCUCUCUUCAUUGGUAGAUGCAUUAACGGUAAAGAUUAA